CGGACGGGUGAGUAACGCGUGAGAAUCUAACUUCAGGACGGGGACAACAGUUGGAAACGACUGCUAAUACCCGAUGUGCCGAAAGGUGAAACCUAAUUGGCCUGAAGAAGAGCUUGCGUCUGAUUAGCUAGUUGGUGGGGUAAGAGCCUACCAAGGCGACGAUCAGUAGCUGGUCUGAGAGGAUGAGCAGCCACACUGGGACUGAGACACGGCCCAGACUCCUACGGGAGGCAGCAGUGGGGAAUUUUCCGCAAUGGGCGAAAGCCUGACGGAGCAACGCCGCGUGAGGGAGGAAGGUCUUUGGAUUGUAAACCUCUUUUCUCAAGGAAGAAGUUCUGACGGUACUUGAGGAAUCAGCCUCGGCUAACUCCGUGCCAGCAGCCGCGGUAAUACGGGGGAGGCAAGCGUUAUCCGGAAUUAUUGGGCGUAAAGCGUCCGCAGGUGGUCAGCCAAGUCUGCCGUCAAAUCAGGUUGCUUAACGACCUAAAGGCGGUGGAAACUGGCAGACUAGAGAGCAGUAGGGGUAGCAGGAAUUCCCAGUGUAGCGGUGAAAUGCGUAGAGAUUGGGAAGAACAUCGGUGGCGAAAGCGUGCUACUGGGCUGUAUCUGACACUCAGGGACGAAAGCUAGGGGA
RNAcentral lists this ribosomal RNA (634 nucleotides) under uncultured cyanobacterium. RNAcentral's name for it is "bacterial SSU rRNA". It matches the Rfam family "Bacterial small subunit ribosomal RNA", at positions 99 to 767 of the family's 1533-position model. Lineage: Bacteria; Bacillati; Cyanobacteriota. The record is from RNAcentral.